CAGCUCGUGUCGUGAGAUGUUGGGUUAAGUCCCCGCAACGAGCGCAACCCCUAUUGUUAGUUGCCAUCAUUCAGUUGGGCACUCUAGCGAGACUGGCCGGUAAUAACCGGAGGAAGUGGGGAUGACGUCAAAUCAUCAUGCCCCUUAUGACCUGGGCUACACACGUGCUACAAUGGUUGGUACAACGAGUUGCGAGUCGGUGACGGCGAGCUAAUCUCUUAAAGCCAAUCUCAGUUCGGAUUGUAGGCUGCAACUCGCCUACAUGAAGUCGGAAUCGCUAGUAAUCGCGGAUCAGCACGCCGCGGUGAAUACCGUUCCCGGGCCUU
RNAcentral lists this ribosomal RNA (326 nucleotides) under uncultured Streptococcus sp. RNAcentral describes it as "bacterial SSU rRNA". It matches the Rfam family "Bacterial small subunit ribosomal RNA", at positions 1056 to 1382 of the family's 1533-position model. Lineage: Bacteria; Bacillati; Bacillota; Bacilli; Lactobacillales; Streptococcaceae. The record is from RNAcentral.